CCAUACACAAGCGUGUGGUGAAGCUGAGACUGAAGACGGAAAACUCUGCUGAUCUGAACGAUGCUGCUGUUAAAGCAAAGUUGCUGGAAGAGCUUCAGAAGAAACUGGAGGAGAACGGAGUGAGUGGAGUGGAGGUGAAGUGGAAACAGCAGACUGAUGGAAAAGUCUUCAACAAGGAGGAGAAAAAGAAGACUGAGCUCUGAAAAAUAAACCCUUUCAUUA
Molecule: non-coding RNA, 222 nt
Organism: Oryzias latipes (Japanese medaka)
Lineage: Eukaryota; Metazoa; Chordata; Actinopteri; Beloniformes; Adrianichthyidae
Source: RefSeq, a predicted model, not a curated record